RNAcentral lists this unclassified non-coding RNA (207 nucleotides) under soil metagenome. Its description in RNAcentral is "partial contains 5.8S ribosomal RNA, internal transcribed spacer 2, and large subunit ribosomal RNA". The record is from RNAcentral.
AACCAUAGAAACCUGCGGAGUACCUGCGGAGGGAUCAUUACCGAGUUUACAACUCCCAAACCCCUGUGAACAUACCUAUACGUUGCCUCGGCGGAUCAGCCCGCGCCCUGUAAAAAGGGACGGCCCGCCCGAGGACCCUAAACUCUGUUUUUAGUGGAACUUCUGAGUAAAACAAACAAAUAAAUCAAAACUUUCAACAACGGAUCU